RNAcentral lists this long non-coding RNA (307 nucleotides) under Gossypium barbadense (sea-island cotton). RNAcentral's name for it is "long non-coding RNA (GBAR_LNC014174)". The record is from RNAcentral. Lineage: Eukaryota; Viridiplantae; Streptophyta; Magnoliopsida; Malvales; Malvaceae.
GUUGAUUGGUUUUGUUUACAGAAGAGAUUUUUAAAUUCCUUUGGAUCUAUUACAUUGAUCUUAACAUGCACAUAUCUGUUGGAAAUCCUUUUCAGUUGUGCAGCUGCUUGGAAGCUUACUUCCUCCAAGAUUUUCAGUGUUGUAGUUCGUUAAUAGUAAUCCCAGCACUUGUAUAAAUACCCUCAGCUGUAUUACACUCGAAACAAUCAAUAUUGCAUUUAUGGAAGGAAAGAAUAGCAGCAGUGCUCGGGCCGGCUUACCUUCAAGCUAUAGAGGCGUUCGUAAGAGGAAAUGGGGUAAAUGGGUG